UUGCCUUCACUAUGUGAUUACUUUCAAGCAUGUUAUGCCUCUUUAUGUUAUGUUUUUAACCCUUUCCCUCUAUUCCUUUGUAUGUGAGUAUUGUCCUGAACCAUGCACUUUGAAUUGCUGUCUAUAAUCCAGAACUAGACUCUUCUGAGUCUUUAUUCAAUUGCUUUGUGCUGAGCCUUAAUUUGGAUCUGUUGGUAUCCUAAGCACCAU
RNAcentral lists this long non-coding RNA (210 nucleotides) under Nicotiana benthamiana. RNAcentral's name for it is "long non-coding RNA (NBEN_LNC020744)". Lineage: Eukaryota; Viridiplantae; Streptophyta; Magnoliopsida; Solanales; Solanaceae. The record is from RNAcentral.